CUCCGCUCCCCUGCUGUAUGCUCAGUUGGGGCCACACGCUGAUCCGCCCAGCAGCUCAGCCCUCCCACCCGGCCGCUCGGUGCCUGGCCCUGGGGCGCCUCCCCCGCUGCACCCUUGGCAAGCGAAAGUGAAACACGGAGCGGAGCCGAGUCGCUGGGAAAUCCCCCUGACAGAGCCUCCAGCAGCCAGAGACUCGUCUGGGGGGUGACUUCCUGCAGCUAAACAGCACCUGAUCGGGACCCAGGCAUCCCAAGGGCCCUGCCCAACUGUCUGGAUGGCCUCCUCCCCCGAUGCCGAGCUCAGGUGCCUGCUGCAGACGGCCCUGGAUGGGGCACCCAAAAUCAACGAUCGCAGUUCGACGGUGCACGGGUGCCCGGCGCUGCGGGCCUGCCCCGGCUGCGGCGCUCUGGUGAGGCACACCCAGAAGGGCUGCCCCACGGUGUGGUGUGCCGAGUGCCCGUGCUCCUUCUGCUUCCGGUGCCUGAAAGUGGGUUACUGCGGGUACAAGCUCCCCCGGUGCCGCAUCCAGGAGACGCAACGACUGCAGGGCAAGGGAAGCAGCCAGCCCCAGCUGUGAGCCGGGAACAUCUUUGUGUCAACAGGCAGGGGAUAAAUGGACGAGGGGACGGACCCUCCUGCCCACCCCUCCCUUUUGGGGUCCUUGGAAAUUACUCUGGGAGACAAAUCAGCUCUUUGCUGCUGCUACCGCUGUGUUCGGGGACCUCGGGCGUUGGUCCCCCUGAACUGAGAGAUCUUCCGACCAGCCCGGGCCAGAGACGGGGACCCAGGUGCCACCUCCGGCGGCUCCGGCUGAGUGCCGGCCACCAGAUUCGAACAGCUCCGGCCCAUGGCAACGAACUUCUGCUCUUUGGCCCUGGGGGAAUCCCGUGCCCCAUUCUGGCCCCCGCAGUUCCAGCAGGGCGGUGGUUAAAUCGGAGAGGGGCCAGAGGGGGAUUCCCGGAGCACACCGUUGAUGCAGGCAAAGUAAUAACCCCUCCCAAGAAUUGCAGCUGAAAUGGAGGCAUCCAUUCUCACCACGUGUGUAAUUAGCUAGUGGGACAAUUUCCCCAGGGGCGUCUCCAUCCCUGGUAACUCUUAGAGCGAGACAGGCUGUUCUGACAGAUCUGCUCUGGGUUCCCACAGGCCUUGCUCGAGGGCGGGGGGAGCUCUCUGUGUUUUAGGGGGUCGGACUAGGCGAUUGUGUCGAGUGAUGGACGCCGGACUAGCCCGUGCGUGUCCCGUUCCCAGUGUGGAUGGGACGCGGCAGGCAUGUAUCGGGAUGCACUGAGCACGCCCCAGAGAUCUAAUGGGAGGUACGUUCGCUAAAUCGGCCUGUGUGUUCUAUACAAUUCUGCUCACCUGCGCUAAGCGACCCAUCACGCCCGGCGUUCACGCAAGCGUCUGGCCCGAGUCGGUCGUUAACGGCUCGAAAUCAAGGUAGAUUCAUCCUACGGCUUUGUGCUGGCCGGGGAAGCACCUCCAUCGCCCGGCCCCUGGAGCGCCAGGAUCCAAAACCCAGCUAAGGAGGGAACAGAACCAGCGAGGGAGCUGGGGAGGGGAUUAGCAACGGGUCACUUGUGAAAUCGUGGUAGAAAUACCAGCGGCUGAAAUGUGUCACGGGGGGACGCACCACUUCCCGCAGACCGGCACCGCAGAGAACGGCUGUCCUGCACCGUGCGAUUGGCUCACAGGGAACAGGGCUUUUCCAGGAAGCCGGCUGUGGGUGGCUGGGGAAGCCGGGUGAGGCAUGCACACAAACCGGGAAACGACGGCCUAGGAAGGAGAACUGCAAAAACGGACCACAAGCUAAAUAUGAGGCAAUAGUGUGACGCUGUGGCAGAAAAAGGGAACAUGGCUCUGGGCAGGCAUGUUGUAAGCAAGACAGGAGAAGUGAUUCUUCCGCUCAGCUCUGCACUGAUUAGACCGCAGCUGGAGGAUCGUGUCCAGUUCUGGGCGCCACAGUGCAGGAAAGAUGUGGACAAAUUGGAGAGAGUUCAGAGGAAAGCAACAAAAACUAUGAACGAUCUAGAAAAAUAUGCCCUGCAUGGGAAGAUUGAAAACCCUGGGUUUGUUUAGCCUGGAGAGGAGACGACCGAGAGGGGACGUGAGAAUAGUUUUCAAGUACGUAAAAUCGUUGAUCAGCUGCCUCCCGGCUGGGUCGGGGAAAUUGCUAAGAGCCCGUGGCACUGGGGAGCUGCAGAAAGCAGACGGAGGUUGUACGGGAGCCUGUGGGCGGGGGGAGGAAUCCAGCUAUUUUAGGGACACCCCCCCCCCCGCAGAUUCUCCAGGCGAGGGGCCACCCAGCCACGCUGGGCCGGGGCGCUGCUCCGCUGGGACGCUUUGGUCCCAUUCGCUGGUUAACGCGUGGGGCAGAACUGGUCUGAUUUUCCACCCGGACGUGUUUAAUUUAGCACGGCGCUGCUGGUGAAAACGGGCGCCGUCGCCUUCGUUCAAAGUCCAGGCCUGAGGGCUGGAAAACACAGACCAACUAGUGCCAAUCCCCCGGAUGCCCAGGGAGAGGCGGCUUUGCCCAGAGCCGUGGGUGAGCCAGAGGUCUUGCAGCGGACGCCGUGCUCGUGUCAAACACGGUACCAGCGCACGGGGCGCCGGGCUUAUGGGGAAAACCCUUCCCCGGGCCGGGACCGGUGCGUGGGAACAGGCCGUGUGACAGGCCCCUCUGGCUGAACGAGAACGCACAUGGGGGUUAGAAAGCCGGGCGAUGUUACGAUUUCACGGCCCGGAAACAGCCCUGGAACCAUCCACAGCAGCAAAACCGUGACAGGUGCAAAGGGGGGAACUGAGGCACAACCCAGUCGCGGCCGGCUCGGCUAGAUGUCGCAGCGAGAGCCCUCUGGAGAACGCUGUUUGAAUCGGGUGGUCGGGGCUGGCGUUGGGUUUGCUGGGACCGGGGCCGGAGCUCGAGGCUAUGGAUAUCCUGCCAGGGAGCUGUAAGAGAACCGUAGGGCCCCCAAGCUGGUGUCUCCGAUUGGCUUAUGCUUGGUCUGGGGAGGCUUGAUUCGUAACCCUGAGGUCUCCAACCCCCUGCUAAUCCCCGGGGCUGAAUCUGAACCAGCUCCGUAUAUGGCCUGCCCGUUCGGACGGUAACCCGAUGAACUGAUCCUGGAAGGAACUUUCUGCAACCAGCGUUGCUACGAAGCUGCGCUAAGAACUUUACUCGUCUCUGUAGGUAUCAUGAUCUUAAUCACAAUCGUCCCUCUCUUUGCUGUGUUAAUAAAUCCUAGUUUAAGAACUGG
This is a long non-coding RNA of Mauremys reevesii (Reeves's turtle), 3254 nucleotides long. RefSeq lists it as uncharacterized. The record is from RefSeq and is a predicted model, not a curated record. The transcript is spliced from 2 exons. Lineage: Eukaryota; Metazoa; Chordata; Testudines; Geoemydidae.